GACGAACGCUGGCGGCGUGCUUAACACAUGCAAGUCGAACGAGAAGAGAUGAGAAGCUUGCUUCUUAUUGAUUCGAGUGGCAAACGGGUGAGUAACGCGUAAGCAACCUGCCCUCUAGAUGGGGACAACAGCUGGAAACGGCUGCUAAUACCGAAUACGUUCUUUCUGUCGCAUGGCAGAAGGAAGAAAGGGAGGCUCUUCGGAGCUUUCGCUGGAGGAGGGGCUUGCGUCUGAUUAGCUAGUUGGAGGGGUAACGGCCCACCAAGGCGACGAUCAGUAGCCGGUCUGAGAGGAUGAACGGCCACAUUGGGACUGAGACACGGCCCAGACUCCUACGGGAGGCAGCAGUGGGGAAUCUUCCGCAAUGGACGAAAGUCUGACGGAGCAACGCCGCGUGAACGAUGACGGCCUUCGGGUUGUAAAGUUCUGUUAUACGGGACGAAUGGUACGACGGCCAAUACCCGUCGUAAGUGACGGUAC
This 480-nucleotide ribosomal RNA is filed under the name uncultured bacterium. RNAcentral's name for it is "bacterial SSU rRNA". It matches the Rfam family "Bacterial small subunit ribosomal RNA", at positions 28 to 478 of the family's 1533-position model. The record is from RNAcentral.